CGCUGGGUGGAGCAGCUUGGUAGCUCGUCGGGCUCAUAACCCGAAGGCCGUCGGUUCAGAUCCGGCCCCCGCAACCA
Molecule: transfer RNA, 77 nt
Filed under: Pasteurella multocida
Lineage: Bacteria; Pseudomonadati; Pseudomonadota; Gammaproteobacteria; Pasteurellales; Pasteurellaceae
Description: tRNA-Met
Rfam family: tRNA
About the family: Transfer RNA (tRNA) molecules are approximately 80 nucleotides in length. Their secondary structure includes four short double-helical elements and three loops (D, anti-codon, and T loops).
Source: RNAcentral